Molecule: ribosomal RNA, 274 nt
Filed under: uncultured bacterium
Lineage: Bacteria
Description: partial 16S ribosomal RNA
Rfam family: Archaeal small subunit ribosomal RNA
Source: RNAcentral
AAACCAGCACCUCAAGUGGUCAGGAUGAUUAUUGGGCCUAAAGCAUCCGUAGCCGGCUCUGUAAGUUUUCGGUUAAAUCUGUACGCUCAACGUACAGGCUGCCGGGAAUACUGCAGAGCUAGGGAGUGGGAGAGGUAGACGGUACUCGGGAGGAAGGGGUAAAAUCCUUUGAUCUCUCGAUGACCACCUGUGGCGAAGGCGGUCUACCAGAACACGUCCGACGGUGAGGGAUGAAAGCUGGGGGAGCAAACCGGAUUAGAAACCCCGGUAGUCC